RNAcentral lists this long non-coding RNA (14327 nucleotides) under Podarcis lilfordi (Lilford's wall lizard). Lineage: Eukaryota; Metazoa; Chordata; Lepidosauria; Squamata; Lacertidae. The record is from RNAcentral.
GGAAGAACUUUUUGACGCUCUCAGGGGGAGAGAAAGAGACCGCGAGCUGCCGCCGUCGUUGCCGUUGCCGCCUGGCCCCAGAGUGAAGGAGACGCGGACGCCCACCGAAGCGCCGAGGGGGGAGCCCGUCGCCGGCGAAGCCCGCUUUUCCCGCCCUUUUCCAGCCCAUGGUGCGCUCGGCGAGGCGCUCAGGGGCUUUGAUUUCCCUCAGACGCUGACAGGUGAGAGAGACUUUGCGCGCCUGCCGCCAACCCCGGGGAGCCGGGCGACCCUCUCGAGCCGCCGCCAUACUCUUCAUUAAAAAUGAAAUUAUUUAGUGGAAUUCGUAUGCCGCCCUUCUCCCGAAGAUCACAGAAUGGUUCACAACCUCCAGUGGGAUGGCUAAGCCUAAAAGUCUGCAGGCGCUACCUACCCCUAAUCCCAAACGGACUAGGGAAAGCGCCCUCUGCACAUGCUCAGAAGGGGAAUAUUUGCUGUUUUGUUGCGUGCUGGGUUUUUCGGAGGGGAAGCCGAAAGCCUGAGCCCUAUGUGGGACUUGGUAAAGCCGGGUUUAACUUGUAUAGGCGGGGUGGGAAGGGAGGUGAAGAGAGAGCAACGCAUAUUCAUGGCAUCCAAGGAGCUCCAUGGUCGGAGGCUGUUGGCUGUUGGCUUCAUGUAGACAAGAUGGAACUUGGUGCUAUUCAGCACAAGUUCUUUUAUAAAGCAUUUCCUCCUUUGUUAAAAAAAAAAAAUAAUCCUGAAGGAGUCUGUCAUAGCAAGCAAAUAGGAAAGAGAGUAAUUAAAGAGAGGAUUUGCCUUUGAAAGUUCCGGCCACAAUAAUUUUUAAGAUGCCACAAGACUCCCCCAUGCACACACUUUUGGGGUGUGUGUGUGAUUUUUUAUUUUUAUUUUUUAACUCUCUGAGGGUUUUGGUGAAAGAAAUAAUCCCCUUUCAUGCAUCUCCUUUCCAGAUUUCCACUCCAUUUAGUCUUAGUGGGACUUCCUCACUGGGUAGUUACUUUAGUUGUGAAGUUUCGGGAUAAAGAGAGCGAUGAGUCCCAUAUGCCUCUUCACAGAAUAAAUGGGCUAGUUUGUAAUCAACUUGCGCAACACGUUUGGUAAACAUGGUGUUCAGGAAGAUGCCUUACUGUAGAAUCUAUUUAUUCAAUUGCUCUUUUGCGUUUUACAUUGUUUACUUCUGGUCUCUCACCAGGCUGAUCAAUAUGGCAAUUGUAGGGAAAGACAAUACAAUGAGUUUAUGAGCAAAAAUAGGUUAGCAGAUAAUCAGAUUUCUCUUUUCUUUUUUUGAAGAGGCACAAGAAUGGAAAUCAGUCUAUGUGUAUUGUUUUCUUCUAUCACAUACAAUGAUGAGAUCUUGGACAAAUCAUCUAAUCAAAGUUAUAAAACUGAGUUCUUAAUGCCUCCUUCAGAUAUCCAUUGUAAGACUAAAGUCGUUACUGUUUGGAAAUUGGACUGCCUAGUCCUCAAAUGGUACUUCUGUUGACUUUGCCAAGAAUGCACUUACACAUCUAAUAGCACCUUAAGAUUACUAGGCUCAAAAGCAUCUAAUUUACUUUUUCAUCACUUCAGAAACAGAUCUGGCAAGUUUUGUUGUGAAUAGUUAUUUCAUAUUUCUUUUCCACUCUUCUACCCUGCCCACUAAUUUCAUCUGAUUCUGUGGCCACUACUUCAGUUCUGUUUGGUCCUCAUAAUGUAAUUACCUUUUACAAUGGUGUAUUGCUCCCUUCGCUUCAUGUAGGUAUGGUUAUUCCAUAUUCCUAUGAUACAUAUCCUAUCCUAUAUCCCAUGUGAUUUUGAUACAUUUGAUAGCAUGCUACAUAUAUAACAUAUGUAAACUUUUGGACUUGGAAAGAUAUGAAUUCAAAUCUCUCUAUAGCCCCUGCCUCAUUGAUCAGUUUUUGGCAGAUCAUUAGCUCUGAUCCAGAAAAGCAGCAAAAAGCGCAAGCCUGUCUGGGUUCUUGUUUAAAAUAUUGCUUUGAGAUUAUUAGAGAAAUUAUGAGAUACAAAUAUAAAUAAAUCACUUCCUUCAAACAUACUGACAGCUCUAUCUAUCUGUUUUGGUGGUGUAAUUGUGAUUCCAAUCCAAGUGUGGAUAAUAUUUGGCACUCCAGAUGUUGUUGAACUAAAACUCCCAUCAGCCCCACCAAGCAUGCUCAAAGGCUAAGGAUAAUAGGAACUGUAGUUCAGCAACUUCUGGAGAGCUAAAUGUUCAGAAAUGUUCUAUUGGUGGCUCCAGCAGAAAGAUGCUGUUCAGCAUCUUAACCCAAUUUUGGUAUAUGUGUGGAGUACAGUUAUUGUAGAUAUUUAUUUAUUUAAUUAACUUUCUUCACUGAAGUAAAGAGCAAUGGGGUGUUCUGCAAAACUUUUCUAUAAAUCUUAACUGGCUCCCUCUCUGCUUUUCUUCCUUCCACCACCUGUUCAGAUGGCUUGGCAAUGUACUCAUUUACGUUUAAGAGUUCUGCAUAGGGUUCUCUAUAGAGUAUAAAAGCUUUUGCCGUAUUCUCCUGCCUAGUAUCGCAAGGAGUGCACAUCACAUUGGGCAGUCAUGGGGAUUUCCUUAUUCUGUUGUUAACUUGCAGCCAAUUACCGUAAAUGUGUAGUUCUUCUAGCUGUAUAUGACAUACCCAAACCAUCCAGCAAAAUAAAUAAAGGCAGAAGUAAUUAAAGUUAAUUUGUGACACACCUAGUCUGGUUUUGUUUUUUUACAAAAGCCUCACAUGAAGAUGAAACAGACUUUAGUUUGUAAAAUCAUUAGAUUCCUUUCUGGGAGUUUCUGUCACAGGUCCAACAUAACCUAUGCUCCAACACAUUAUUGAUCAGUAAAUUAAAAGUGUGUGUGUUUCUUGGUCACUGUGAUUAAUGGAAGUGAUACAGAUAACAAGAAUAAAAUAGUAUCAUGUUUUCUUUGUAGAAAGGCAGUUGAUAGAUCUUAAAUACUUAAAAUUUUAAGCUACAAAAUGCAACUGCAUCAGUAGUGUGAUGUAGUAAAUGGAAACAGUUAUGGGUUGUUUAUUGUUUUUUAUUAAAGAUUUCUUAGUUUACAAAAAUACAUGCAUUGUCUGGAAAUGGAAACAGUUAUAGCUCUAGUCCUACUGCUUCCAGUGACCUCUGGUCAAGUAACACAUUUGCCCAGAUAACAUAUAGUUUUGCCCUGAGAGACUAGUAGCUAAGGCAUUAUUGUACAAUUUUCCAUUUGGAUAUCACAGAACAUAGAACAAUAAAGGAAUUGCUAAGUUGGGUAUGUCUGACUUCAGAAUUAGAAAAAGAGUUCUGAGUAAUUGCACGCUUUUGCACAAACACUAACAUAACUUGCUCAAAUUAAUCUGUUACCUGCCCAUCUUAUAGAUAUUUUCCCCUGCCUAUUUCUACAAAAUUUGCUGUAAUGGGCAACUAGUCAUUGGUUCCCAUCCAGGGACACUACUUGUUAGUAGUGUCCCUGGAUGGGAACCAUUGCCUAAUCUUACAAAAAAAAUCUAACCAAUUUAAUCCAGGUUGAGCAUUCUGAUGUGGAUGGGGCAAUCAUCCACCAUACACACAGAAUACUAUUAGUCACAGGUGCUAUUGAAAUCACUGGAAUAAUAACUUUUAAUAUUUAUUUCAGUGGGCCCUAAGUUAACAUUUUGAAAAGUAUCCUUUGAAAAUCUUUAGAAUACGAAGCAGGGAAAGACCCUAGCUUAUGGCACAGCAAAUGCUUUACAUACAUAAAGUCCCAGUUUCAAUCUCUGGCAGCUCCAGGUAUGGCAAGAAAAGACUUCUUUCUGAAACUCUGAAGAACUGCUGCCCAUCAACCCAGACAAUAUUGAACUAAAUGGACUUAAACACAGCUUCCUCUGUUCCUAGCCCAAUAUUUUUGCCUCUCUCUUUCUUUCUUCACUUUUCCUAUUCAUCAUGCAAAGGAUAAAAAUUAAAGGAUGGAUAAGGAACAUUUACCAAUAUGUUUGUUGGUCCAGGGGCAAAUUAAAGUGGUCAAAUGUUCAAGGUAUGAACCAGAUCUCUUUAAAAAUUUCAGGUCUGUUUAUUUCCAUUUACACCUUUGCCAGAAUGUCUACUAUAUCCAUGACCUGUAUCUCCAUGCCAGGCUGAAUUUUGGCCUUCCAUGACUGGAAUAUCAACCACUUGGCAACUACCAUGGCUUCCUUUAUCUAGGCAAUGAAUGUAAGGUUGCAGUGUCAGCCCUUAACCUCACAAUUCAAUAGGGUAUGAAUAAGUCCAGUUUCCAUGGCUAAAUCAUAUGGAGUAUCUACAACUUUAGCAAAGGGAAAGACUCUGAGCUGUCUCAGAAGCCAGGUCCAAUAUGCUUCAAAUAAGUUAUUUUGUUGUGCAAGGCUAGGAAGAAUUUUAAGAAACAUUUUACCAUUCUUUAAUGUGAAUUGUGACAUAGCAUUUAAGAACAAUAAGUUACAUUACAUUAAAUAGUGAAUUAUAAAAUAAAAUGCUCUGGGAUUUAAGAUGAAUGGCAGGCUCUAAAAGUUUCUUAGUUUCUGAGAUGCUGCAUCAGAAUCAAGCUUUGACAGUCUUCUUGACCAUAUGCUGUUGUUUUUUAAUUGUGCAGUGAUUUAUAUCUGGCAAACUGUUAAAGGUUCAAAGAGGUUGCAAAUAGAGAUGCAUGGUAGCAGCUCAGAUAUCCCUAAAACAUACAAACUACCCACCACCAUGGCACCUGAAACAUAGUGGAUAUUUUGUUAGUAUUUAUAGAUACAAGAAUUACUGCCUUGUGAUCUUUGGAUGAAGGGUGGUAUACAAAUUUUAAUAAUAAAAAAUAAAGCACAUUAAUUUCCCCAAAGAAUCCUAGGAUCUGCAGUUUCCCCCCUCCGAGCAACGAUUCCCAGCAACAUUAAAAGACAUUAAAAGUUAAAAGUUCCCAGGUUUCUUUGGAGAAGUUAUGUGCUUUAAAUGUGUGGUGCUGCUCUUCCUAUAGCAAGGGGCACCAAGGACAGCAAAAAAGGGCAUUUCUAGAAGUAACAAUAUCUCACUUGGAUUUGUGUUAGUAGGCGGACAUGUACCUCUUCUGUAGUAGCUGAGAAACCACAAUUUUCUGGGGGAUGGAUGUCAUCUAGAAUUUCUCAUCUAUCUGUUGUAUGAAUGCCAUCUGUAAUCUCACAAGUGUACUUGAGAGAUUCUCCAGGUACUGAAAUCCACAUUGAAUGACUUCUUCAAUGGUAAACAUUUAACAAGGAGAUUUCUUAAGUGCAUGUACCUUGCACGUUUUAACUUAACCUAGAAAGUAAAAUGCUGUUUUCUCUCAGCAAUCUUAGUUAAUCAGUAGUCCAAGGGUCUGGUGUUUUCAAAUGGCUCCAUUUCUCUCUCUCUCUCUCUCUCUCUGUGUGUGUGUGUGUCCCUCACCCAGUGGGCUUCUUACAGUCUAGCCAAAAUCUGUUGCAAACAGGCUAUGUAUUCCGCCCACCCCCCACCCCACCCCCGUUACUGAAAACAGAUAACAAUCUGAAUGCCAUUGUUCAUCAUGCAUCAGGUUUCACCACCCACUAUCUCCACAUUACUGUUCAAAGGCAUCUUAAGUUGCGCCUACUUUCAAGGUAUGUGAAAAUAAUAAUAAAAAAGUAGAAUACACAUAGAGAGAAAACCAGCAUAGCAAGCACAAUUUGAAAAAUCCCAUGCUGCUGAUCACUUAAAAAUCUAUGCUCUCCCCAAAGAGACCACCUCUCCCCAAAUGAGCUGACCUGGAUCUUGCAGUCAUUUGAGGUCCUUCUUUGUGUGCCUCCUCCACAAGAGGUCUGGAGGGUAGAAGCACAAGAAUGGGCCUUUUCUGCAGUGGCUCCCCAUUUGUGGAAUGUUCUCCCCAGGGAGGCUUGGCUUGCGCCUUGAUUACACAUCUUUAUGCACCAAAUGACAAUUUUUCUCUGUAACCAGGCCUUUCUCUGAUUAACAUUCUACAGUCUUUUAAAUAUUUGUGGGUGGAGGGUUAUUGGUAUGUUUUUGUUUUAUUAUGUAUAACAAAGCUAGCAUAUUUGCAAAGCUAACCAAGGUUAUUGAAUUUGGACAAGGCUGUUUGGUUUGGUCAACACCAAACCAUUCCUAAAAGAAACCAUGGUCUGGAAGUGAACAACAAACCAUGGUUUCACAUUGUGAUUUGUUGCAAGUGAACAAACCAUGCUUAGUGUCCUGUAUUGCCUUUGAACAUUGGAAUAAACUGCACAAUGGCUUAGCAUUAUGUGUGAAUCAAGGUAGCAUAUUGUAAUUGUGAUGAUUUCUGGUAGCCAUCUGAUACACUGAGUUGAAGUCAAAUUGAGAGGUAAAGGCAGUCAUUUGACAGACUGACGAGUUAAUAUUUUAUUUGCUAGUAGCAUCCUGGAUUAGUAUAAUAUAUAAUAUAAAAUACUGACUAGUGGACAAUUCUAGGCCAGGGUUUCCUUUCUUUUUCUUUUUAAUAAUGUUUUUAUUUAUUUUCAUGGUACAGAAGAUAAAUAGAAGGGUUUUCUUUCUGACAGAUAAAUGACCACCAAGAUCUGCUUUUUUAUGUAUAUGCGAUUUUAUAUCAUUUUAUCUUGUUUUGAGCUUUUAAGUUUUGUAACUGGUGUUUUUGUCUUGAUACUGAUCAUUGACCAUAAUAAAACGACUUGUACUUACAAUGGUACCUCGGGUUAAGCACUUAAUUCGUUCCGGAGGUCCGUUCUUAACCUGAAACUGUUCUUAACCUGAAGCACCACUUUAGCUAAUGGGGCCUCCUGCUGCUGCUGCACCACCAGAGCACGAUUUCUGUUCUCAUCCUGAAGCAAAGUUCUUAACCUGAAGCACUAUUUCUGGAUUAGCAGAGUGUAACCCGAAGCGUAUGUAACCCGAGGUACCACUGUAUUUGCUAGUAAAAACCAGGAAGGGGUAUGUUUAAAAUUCUGUGAGCAGUCUGUAUCCCACAACUUCUCAGUUUCAUUAUGAGUCAACUUUAUAUCAGUGAUUCUGUAGGUCUGUCGUAUGAAGGACCACUAUUCACUUGUUAUUUUAAGGAGCACUAUAUUUGGUCCUUAUGGGAUGCGGGUGGCACUGUGGGUUAAACCACAGAGCCUAGGACUUGCUGAUCAGAAGGUCAGCGGUUUGAAUCCCCGCAACGAGGUGAGAUCCCGUUCCUCGGUCCCCACUCCUGCCAACCUAGCAGUUCGAAAGCACGUCAAAGUGUAAGUAGAUGAAUAGGUACCGCUCCGGCGGGAAGGUAAACGGCGUUUCCUUGCACUGCUCUGGUUUGCCAGAAGUGGCUUAGUCAUGCUGGCCACAUGACCUGGAAGCUGUACACCGGCUCCCUUGGCCAAUAAAGCGAGAUGAGCUCCGCAACCCCAGAGUCGGCCAUGACUGGACCUAAUGGUCCCUUUACCUUUACCUAUAUUUGGUCCUUACAUUAUUGACUACCAUAUGAGAUGGUGCUUGGAGGUUUUCUAAACAAAACUCAACCACGGUCUUCUGCAACUGCAAUAUGAUGAACCAUGUAUUUAUCCACAGGUGCUGUUGCUGGUUGCUGCUUUAUUCAGUUCUUCCAGCCACUUUUACUGCUGAAGAGGGUACUUUUAAGAUGAUUAUACUACAAUUUAAACUGAAGCGGAUUGACUUUUAACAUGUGAUACUAACUCUUUGAAGAAGCCAUUCAAUCUUUAAUGAGAAAUUUUUGUAUUAUAUGCAACCAUACCAUAUUCUGCACUAGCUAGACAAAGGGGCUUUUCCGGACAGAAGUUUAAUGUGAACUGUGUGCUCGCUGCUCAUGCAUGCAAGAAAUGGUAUUCCUCACCAAAAUACUCUCCUGUAUUAUUUUCUGAGUCUGGAUUUACCAUUUCUACAGGUAUUUUGAUGGUGGUGGUGUUGCUUGGACACUGAAGAAAAACUUGCAUGCCCAAGUCCACAAUAGACUGUUGUGGGGAAGUGCCUCUAGAAGGCAACAGACUUCUUUCUGAGGCUGACAGAUAGCUGUCUAUUCAGAAGUCCCAUAAUUUUCAAUAGGGCUUACACCCAGAUAAGUGUGUAUAGGAUUACAACUUCAGGCUGCUGUUCUAAAGACUGGGGGAGGGUGAUCCUAGUGCCUUAUCUAAAGCUCUGUUGGGCUCUUGCCAGCAGGGCUUUCAACUGUGUAUGCGCACACACAUACACAUACAAGCACAUUCUCUUUCCCAUUGUUUCUGGUGGGAAGGAAUGGGAAGACAGACGUAUGUCUAAUUUCCCCCUCUGGUGACUUGACAAGUGUCUAGGAGAGUUUUGGAUCCUUUGGAUUCCUUUGGCAUCUUCCAGCAUUACAAAACCAAUGUCAGCUGAGUUGGUCGUUGGAGCUGUCAAUGUAGGAGCUGAUCCAGUCCUUCCUAAGAACCCUGUGAUGCCCUCCUACAUCCUUAGUGUUAUAUUGAUCAUAUUAUUUGGAUUAGUUGAGUGGUCCUUAUUGAUGACAUAUCCAAGCAUAUUACAAACCUUGCUCCAAAACUUUAUACUGGCUCAGACAGACAUAAAGUUAUUUGUUCCUAAUGCAUGUCGUCAGCUGGGAUGCAAACCCAGCCAGCUGUAUUUGGCUCAUAGGAUGCAGUGUAGAUACCAGUGGUAGGGAACCAUUUGGGCUCUGCUUUGGGCAGCAAGUUUUAUUGGGCCAGCACUGAAUGCAGCAUAUUCUUUACAGCUCUUCCUAUAGUGUGGAAGCAGACCUUUGGAUCUUUCUUGUCUCCCAAGUAGAUAUUAAGUAUUGCUUAAUAAAGCAAUAAGACUAAUAAAGAAAUGAAGCACAAAUCUGGGCUCAACAGAAAUUCAUGAUAUCGGUGGCCAGGUUCUAACAUGAUGUCUUGUAGAAAUGCCACUAACUUUUGUGUUAUUAAGGUGUAUUUUUGAGCUUCAUAUACAGUGGUACCUCGGGUUAAGUACUUAAUUCGUUCCGGAGGUCCAUUCUUAACCUGAAACUGUCCUUAACCAGAAGCACCACUUUAGCUAACAGGGCCUCCUGCUGCUGCCGCACCGCCGGAGCACAAUUUCUGUUCUCAUCCUGAAGCAAAGUUCUUAACCUGAAGCACUAUUUCUGGGUUAGCAGAGUCUGUAACCUGAAGCGUAUGUAACCUGAAGCGCAUGUAACCCGAGGUACCACCGUACUGAUGUUUGACCAAUGACUUCUGUGGUAAUCAUGUAGAAUGUGAAGGGAAGAAGCAUGUCCCACAACUUGAGGCGAUACAGUGAACAUAUAUAUAUAUAUAUAUAUAUAUAUAUAUAUAUAUAUAUAUAUGUGGUCAUAUUUGGGUGUAGCUUCCUGUCACCUGCCCACUGUGUAGUUGGGAACAAAUGCCCUUUCACACUUCAUGUGUUUACUGAGCAAACGUUGGUCAAGCCCUGGUGUACCCAUAGUACCACGUGAUAUAUAAAUGGAUCUAAGCACAGCUCAGAACUGAUACUCAGAUAUAACUAUUUUAUCCCUGUUGUAAGCAAGAAAUAUAACAUGUUUCUAAACUUGGUGCUUAGUUAAUCUUCUAGAUUAGCUAGAGAUAUUGUAAACUUUGUAAGGCAAGACAGUGCCUUCAGUUUCUUUGAUCCCUUAAGUAAUCCUGGUUAUCUAAGAUUUUGACUCUGUCUAGCAGCUUCUAACUCUAAACAGCAGUGCUGUAUUAUGUUCAACCAGCAGAGCAGAAAAUAUUUUUGGUGCUUUCUUGGGUAAAAGGGUGUGACACACAAAUUUGCUUGCAAGUGGCUGAGCUUGUUUCCUGCCCAGUGCUCAUAGCUUGAGUCAGGGUUAUGAAAGGUUGUAUCCAUGACACAUACAUGGAUCAGAAUUAACUGCAUCCUGCAUAUAAUGUUACACUAUCCCAUCUGUAAACAAAAUGUGAUUUGAAACAAAAAUAAUCAUGCAGAAAUUAAUUAUGCAGAAAUGAAUGGAACAGAACAUAAACCCAAGGUCUGGAUUCAACUAUUUUGGACCACAAAUAGAAUCAUAAGUUAAGCAUUGGCAGCUUUCAAAAGCACUGUAAGACCUACCGCUUUGUGAUGGCCUCUUUUAUCCCAUGGUUAAGUCAGGUAGAGAGAUCAAUGGAAUGUUAUUCUGUUGCUCACUUUCACUUGUGUUGCUUCCUCUGAACCUUUGAAAUGGAACAGCCCUACAGGAUGACUUAAAAAUUAUAAGGUGGAAAUCAUUCAUCAUAUCUUUUCUUUAUGAAGGUUAUUUCCACUAAUUUGAUGAAUGCAGGAUGAAUGCCAGUUUCCUCCAGAAAAGGUUUUAUCUCAAUCCAAAAUCAAAUAUAUCAUUCCCAGUUCAAAACAUGAGUUUUUGAUUGCCUUUUCUCUUUCUUCAUACAUAAUGUUGUGCUUUUAAAAAAAGAAAGACUACUGCUCAUCCAUUGAAACAAAUUCUUCCUGUUUUGGAAGUUGCCUUCCUAACCAGCAGAAACCUAUUAUGUAAAGAGUUGAUCUUUAUUAAGUCAUAAGAAACUAGGAGUGCUUCUUACUGUGGAAGACUGAACUUACUGUGGAAUGACCAUGUUCCGUUCACUCUUUACAGGGCAUCUUCACAACAUAAGCAGUACAUCCUUCUUGAAGUUAUGUUUUCCCUGUUCAGCUUCAGGUUUUCCCACUAGAGCUCAGAAUUUCUAAACUUAAAAAACAAACACUUUAAUGGAAUAGUUGCAGAAGGCCUCUUGUACUACUGCUUGGUUCAUUAUGGCAUGGAUAGAUUGCUCUAGACGUUUCCUUCUCUACGUUCUGUCUCUUCUCUUUAGAGCCAACUCUAUUCUGUUGGCGCUUCCAUUUCCAAAUAGCAUUGCUUUGAUAUCAGUUGCAAUGGGAGGAUUGUGCAGUGAAGGGAGAGGGGCAUUUAACCCUUUCCACACACACAGUGGAGCUGGGGAAAGGGAGAUUGCCCAGUUGACUAUAGUGUGUUUGAAGUCUGGCAGCAUAAUUGAUAGUCCUCUUCCAGAUUUAAGUAGAAGAUCAAUGAUUGAAUGUUGCUAAAUUUUCCAUGCCUGGAAGCACCUAGGACAACAAUACAUUUUGUGUGAAAUCACUCAUUGUAGAUAAUGUAUUACUUGCUUGGUAUCUUGAAUUGAAUGUUAAAUUUUAUGUUAGUACAUAUAAUUUAUGAAAUAUACUCGGAGUCCUGCAGUGAUUUCAAGCUCUUUAUUGCAGCUUGUAAAACAGUGAUUGAGUUUCCCCCCAAACCUCAGGCUUUUAUAUACAUUAUUUACACAAUGAGUCCCAUCUGAUUGGCUGAUUCUGCUUCCCUCCUGGAGCCUGAUUGGUCUUCUCCUGCAGGCCAAUCAGUUGUUGCAUUCUAGGACCCUACCUGUCUAUUGUUCUAGGAUCCAAGCUUAGUAUGUAACAGUUUAGUAUAUAGUUUAGGUCAGUAGUCUUCAAACUUUUCAAACCCAGGAUCCAUCUUUAAUCCAAACAUGCAUUUUUUUUAAACUUUCUACCAUGUAUUUAUAUUGUGAAGUGCUGCUGUUGCAACCCACGCUAGAACAGGCUGUGACCCUACUCACCAAUCGAAGGCCAGUAGUUUAGCUUUGAAUCACUGCAAUGCACUGUUGCCAGAACGAGGCAUUUCCCUUGGAGCAGGGAUAUGUAAAAAAGAUAAAUCUUUUUCUGGUGAAUCUAAAUUGCACAGAAAAUUUAGUCUCUCUCCCCCCCCCCCAAGAUUCUUUGUGCACUGCUUCUGGCUUAAAGAAAGCAGUAAGACUCCUAGAGUGAUAUCUGUUCAAGACUUAUGCAUUUAUUUCAAUGCGCCGUUAGUAUGACUACGUAGUAUAUCACUCUUGACUUCUUGUCAUACCUCACUAAUAUGUUCAUUUACCUGGUUAAAAAGGUAGUUUAAGCCCCUUGAUGCAGUGGUGUGUGUUUUGCUGUUGCUUUGUUCCAUUGAGGGUGGAAUUGGUUCUCAACAGAAUAUUAAGCAGAUAAUUCAUAGCAAUUUGAUGUGAAGUAAGUGGGAUAAUGUGUGGAAAUCAAGCUCUCUAGCGAGUUUAAGUAUUUCCUCUCCAUUCCUAUUACAAAUUCAAUAAUGCUUCUGUGCCUUGCUUGGAGUACAGUGAGUCAUGCUUCUUAGAGCUUUGGGGCCAAACUAGACGUAACAUUAAAUGCAUCUUUGCAUUUAAUGUUCAGGUUUUAAACAGCUUUGGCGGGGCAUGGGCAUGUAAUGAUCAGGAUUGCAGCAAGCCUGAAGGGGGGUUUUAACCUUUCCUCUCCUACUGUGGUUGUUUGUAGAUGUUGUUUGCAGUGGGAAUAAAUUUCCCUAUUGGUGCCAGUUGCUGUACAAGUUCUGGCUAUGCCUAGUUGGAACAUGUAGCCUAGUAAUGAAAUGCAAAAACUGCCCGUUUUAAGAAACAGAUGCAGAAUAUCAUGAAAACCCACCAUAUAUGCACAUUAAUGGGAUGCUACUAACAGCACAAUCCAUUGUUUGUUCACUAAAAAAAGUUCCGCAGAGUUCCAUGGGAGUUACUCUCAAGUCAGUUUGUAUAGGAUAGCAGCCUCAUUCAUAUUUUAUAGCAGAACUAGUAUUUAUCUAAGAAGCUGAAUUAGAAUUAUUUUCUGGGCACACAUUAUUUUGGGACUUUUAAUUUAGUAGAAGAUUCAUUUGCUUUUUAAAUCAUUCUUCAGUUAAUAAAUAUUUUUUUCCAUGAUACGUGUCGGAGCAGCUUAUGUUUAAUGUGUUGUAUUUUAUAACUCAAUCCUUCUUUUUUUUUACAUCCUCUCCUUGUCAUAAUAGGUCCAAAGACUCAAACGAUAACAUGGACUGGGGAACGCUGCAGGGCAUUUUAGGAGGUGUAAACCAACAUUCUACCAGUAUUGGAAAGAUUUGGUUGACUGUCCUGUUCAUCUUCCGUAUUAUGAUCCUUGUUGUUGCAGCGGAGGAAGUCUGGGGUGAUGAGCAAGAUGAUUUUGUGUGCAAUACGCUGCAACCAGGAUGCAAAAACGUCUGCUAUGAUCAUUUUUUCCCCAUUUCCCACAUCAGACUCUGGGCCCUCCAGCUCAUCUUUGUCUCCACCCCUGCCCUCUUGGUGGCAAUGCAUGUCGCAUACAGGCGGCACGAAAGGAAAAAGAAGUUCCGAAAGGGAGAUAAAAGCUGUGAAUAUAAGGACAUAGAAGAAAUAAAGAAACAGAAAUUUCACAUCGAAGGUCCCUUGUGGUGGACAUACACUGCCAGCAUCUUGUUCAGGCUGAUUUUCGAAGCUUCUUUCAUGUAUGUGUUUUACUAUAUGUACCAGGGAUAUCACAUGCCUCGGCUACUGAAAUGCAGCGCCUGGCCGUGUCCCAACGUAGUGGACUGCUUUGUUUCUCGCCCCACUGAAAAGACCGUCUUUACCAUUUUCAUGAUUUCAGUGUCCGGCAUUUGCAUUCUGCUGAAUGUGGCCGAGCUCUCCUAUUUGCUGCUGAAGGUUUGUGUCAAAAGGUCCAGAAGAGCAGGGAAACCAAAAAAUCACACUAACCAUGAGAACAAAGAAGAAAGCAAACAAAACGAAAUGAAUGAGCUUAUAUCUGACAGCUGCCAGAACACAGUCACAGGAUUUCCAAGCAGCUAAGGUGGCCACAAGCCUAACAUGCGAUUCAUGCAAAAUAAAUGAAUAGCCACAUUCAUAGUUGCCUGUGAUAUUGGUUAGAUUUAACUAAGCAAUAAAUUAAGUGGGGAAACAUGAGUAUUACAACAUGUUGGAAUUAGGCACGUGGUGUCUUUUUUUAAAAGGGUCAAUAACAACAUAGGAAUGUAAAGAGUAAUGGAAAUUAAAGAGAUUACAUCGUAUUAUGCAUAUCUGUACCAAGUCAGCUUUGAUUUCAUUAGAAAGUAAUACUUGUUAGUAACUUCUUGCUGAGACUCAUCCUAAAGCCAAAGGGAAAGAAAUAGCGGCCUUCCAGACUAGAUACUAUUAGUAUUAUGAGACACUUUACUACUGUGGUAGCAGUUUUAAUUGUGAGCUUGCAUCUAAAUUAAAGUAUUUUUAUAUGGUCUGAUAUUCCAUGUUCCUUGGUAUUAACAUGUAUGAAUGAGUAGCGUCUCUUUUUAAUAUUUUGUUGAAAGCUAGCAUGACGGCCGAUGUCUUCACGCUGCUGGAAGUGAAUCAUUUCUAAGCAUAUGACUACAUGCUGUAAAUAAUUCUAUGAAUACUCUAUUUUACAUACUACCAGUUUUAAAUUUAUUUGUACUAUAAUCCAUGAAUGAUAUAGUCAUAUCUGAAUAACAAAGACACUUUGGUUUCGUACACUGCAGAAGAUUUCAAGGAGUAUUGUUUUUUUUAAAUAAAUAAAUGAAAACCUGUAGACUGGAAAUGACAGUAGUAGGGAAAGGGAGGUUAACUGGCUGAAAAUAAUGUGAAGAAAUUUCUCUGAACCAGUAUGAGCAAAUUUUUAGAACAAAGUGUUUCAAAUAAAGGAAAAAAUAUAUUUAA